GGUGACAGGAGAGCGAGCGAAUGCCUGGUCCUGCACUGUCCGGAGCUCUCUCGGCAGCUUCGGGCCGUGGAGCCGGCUGCAGUACACACUCCAGGACCGGGCAAGGGGGAAUGGGGCUGGAGAGCUGAGGCAGGGAGGCUGAAAUGAAGCCGCCGCAGGGUACGCUAGACUCUUCUUGACUUAGGGAAAGUGCUGAAAGUCAAAGCCCAUCAAUAAAAUCUGCGCGUCCUGAACUCGCUGCUGACAGGCCGCGUCGCCGCAGCACCUGGGAGCCGGGACAGUGAGGACGCUGCAAGCCGCCCUGGGCCGCCGGGCCACGUGUGGGUCUCACCCUCUCGUUCCUGCCCUGGACCCAGCAGCGCCGCGACCAAGGAGCCCGGGUAGGGCGGGAAGCAGAGGCCUCCCAGGCCCUAGUCAGAGUUAGGGUCUCACAACCCUCUCCCCUCCCCAGGCCGGGGAGGGCUGCCGGCUCUAACCCUUCCCGCGGCCCAGAAGCUCGCAGCGCGGGGAGGAAACCCGGGUCAGAGGCGAAGGAGGUGGCGCCGGGUGUACAGGUCCGCGGCCUCCUGUGCGAGGUUUCAUUUCGCAGGAGCGCGACUUUCGGAGGAUGCCGGGAAGUGGGGCCGCGGCCCUGAGUCCCAGACCAGCGAAAGUCGGUCUUCUCUUUCUCUCUCCUUUUACGUUUCAAGCGAGCAUUAAAGAAGCUUGGACUCAAGACUCAAGUCCGCUGUGCAAGAGCGAGGGACUUGGGGGGAGGGGUGAGGGCAGUGAUUCUGUCCGAACUGGAGGCGAGUAUCAUUUUUACAACCUCUCAAUUAGCGACCGAGUGGGAUCCCUGGUCCGCGGAGCUGGCAAACGGGUCCAGUGAGCACUAAAAGCAAAGGCUCCCACCCUGGCCGCCAAGUCCCAGGUGCCUCCCCCGCUUCCAGGCCUUUGUCCCUCUCCUUUCUCCAGCAACCUGCCGGUUCCCGCUAACCCGGCAGCUUCACUGAUCCCAGAGCCUAGAAAAUCCAAGAAGAUCCCAGAGACGCCCCGUGGCGCCUCCAGGCUGUGGCCACUGCUCAGCUACGGUGGAAGCCGCUGUGCCCUCGCCCUUCCUUGCCUCCUGCCAAAUGGCCAGUGCUAGGGGCUCCCUGGGUUCCGUCCUCAGUCCUCUUCCAUUCACUCUGGGAGGCCAGUCUCUCUCUCUCUCUCUCUCUCUCUCUCUCUCUCUCUCUCUCUCUCUCUCACUGUCUCUCUCUCACUGUCUCUCUCUCUUUCUCUCUCUCUCUCUCUCUGUCUUCUCCCUGCCCACCCCCGAAAUACCUUUAAAAUAACAUUGUCCAGUGGAGUCUCCCACCAAAGGGAUUCCUAGCAGCCCAGCGGGCCAGACUCCCAAGGCUUUGCCUCCCAGUCCCUCCAUGCUGUUGUCCAGAUAGGAGCUAGGUUUAAAACUCCUGACCUGUAGAACAAUUGGAAUCAGCGGCACUCUCCGAUUUUUGCAAAUAGGGUUCCUAGGAAAGUUUGCUUUCCAUUUCAUCACCCUGAGACGAUCCCCCUCAUCUCUCUUUUCCCUGUGACCUCUGCCCCCAAGAAGCAAGAGUUCAGCUUCAAAGGAAAAGCAAGCAAGCCAAGGCCACCUCAGUCCCUUCUCCUUGGAUAUCCCCUCUCUAAACCGCUACCCGUUCUAAAGGCCAACGACCCGGUCCUGCGAUUUGUCCCGUUGUGGACCUGGGAACAGGCAGGCGGGAACUGGGAGCUUUACUGGGGGAUUUGAGGCUGGGGAGGAGGAGGGAGCAAAUGUCAUGGCUGGCUCGCUGGAGCAGCCAGGGAACCGGAGCUAAGCGCAUCCUGACGGGCUUUUAAAAUGACAUUGAUUAGGACAAGCUGUUCCCAACCCCAGUAAGAGUUAAUCUGCCUGUUAAUCAAGGCACUAAGGGGCUCAAUGCGAGUUUUAUUAGCGACAGGAGAACAGAGGCCGCAGCCAGGGAUCAAAAGCCGGGAUCCCAUAUAUUUGUCAACGCUAUCUCCAAAAAAAAAAAAAAAAAAAAAAA
Molecule: long non-coding RNA, 2033 nt
Organism: Macaca fascicularis (crab-eating macaque)
Lineage: Eukaryota; Metazoa; Chordata; Mammalia; Primates; Cercopithecidae
Source: Ensembl